CCGUCACACCAUGGGAGUUGGCCACGCCCGAAGUCGUUACUCUACCUUUUCGGAGGAGGAGGGCGCCGAAGGCAGGGCUGAUGACUGGGGUGAAGUCGUAACAAGGUAGCCGUACCGGAAGGUGUGGCUGGAUCACCUCCUUUAAGGGAGACCUACCCUUGAUUACUCCGAGCGAAAGUUAUUAGGAGAAUUGAGAGGUCACUCUAGGUCGUACAGGGAUUGAGGUAGAGUUUCUAAACUAAGUCGAGGUUAAUCGGUCUGAGGCAGUCUGUAUGGCUGUUUGGGAUAGAUUAACGGGGGCUAUUAGCUCAGGUGGUUAGAGCGCACCCCUGAUAAGGGUGAGGUCCCUGGUUCGAGUCCAGGAUGGCCCACUAAGCGUGGGGGUAUAGCUCAGCUGGUAGAGCGCCUGCUUUGCAAGCAGGAUGACAGCGGUUCGAGUCCGCUUACCUCCACCAGAGAGGGAUAUUCAGUUAGCACAUUGUAGGUUGUUCAUCGAAGAGAUGGGUGACGUAUAGUCUGCUAGGUGAGAGCCUAGUGAAGGACCUAGACAACUGAAUACGAGAGAAGUGUAAGGUAGUACACACAGAACAUGAGUGUUCGUUGAGAGCAGAGUGAGUUCAGUUAGUUUAUCUAGCG
This 636-nucleotide unclassified non-coding RNA is filed under the name Haloleptolyngbya alcalis PMC 892.15. RNAcentral's name for it is "partial 16S-23S ribosomal RNA intergenic spacer". The stretch from base 1 to 143 matches the Rfam family "Bacterial small subunit ribosomal RNA", at positions 1394 to 1533 of the family's 1533-position model. The record is from RNAcentral. Lineage: Bacteria; Bacillati; Cyanobacteriota; Cyanophyceae; Nodosilineales; Nodosilineaceae.